Molecule: ribosomal RNA, 422 nt
Filed under: uncultured prokaryote
Description: bacterial SSU rRNA
Rfam family: Bacterial small subunit ribosomal RNA
Source: RNAcentral
UGAGGAAUAUUGGUCAAUGGGCGAGAGCCUGAACCAGCCAAGUCGCGUGAAGGAAGAAGGAUCUAUGGUUCGUAAACUUCUUUUUUAGGGGAAUAAAGUGCGGUACGUGUACCGUUUUGUAUGUACCCUACGAAUAAGGAUCGGCUAACUCCGUGCCAGCAGCCGCGGUAAUACGGAGGAUCCGAGCGUUAUCCGGAUUUAUUGGGUUUAAAGGGUGCGUAGGCGGGUUUUUAAGUCAGUGGUGAAAGUUUGCAGCUCAACUGUAAAAUUGCCAUUGAAACUGAAGACCUUGAGUGUAAAUGAGGUAGGCGGAAUGUGUUGUGUAGCGGUGAAAUGCUUAGAUAUGACACAGAACACCGAUUGCGAAGGCAGCUUACUAAGAUACAACUGACGCUGAGGCACGAAAGCGUGGGGAUCGAACA